GGCGUACGGUGGAUGCCUUGGC
This 22-nucleotide ribosomal RNA is filed under the name uncultured Syntrophomonadaceae bacterium. Its description in RNAcentral is "partial 23S ribosomal RNA". Lineage: Bacteria; Bacillati; Bacillota; Clostridia; Eubacteriales; Syntrophomonadaceae. The record is from RNAcentral.